RNAcentral lists this transfer RNA (73 nucleotides) under Mycobacterium phage Rey. It matches the Rfam family "tRNA". From Rfam's summary of the family: Transfer RNA (tRNA) molecules are approximately 80 nucleotides in length. Their secondary structure includes four short double-helical elements and three loops (D, anti-codon, and T loops). Further hydrogen bonds mediate the characteristic L-shaped molecular structure. tRNAs have two regions of fundamental functional importance: the anti-codon, which is responsible for specific mRNA codon recognition, and the 3' end, to which the tRNAs corresponding amino acid is attached (by aminoacyl-tRNA synthetases). tRNAs cope with the degeneracy of the genetic code in two manners: having more than one tRNA (with a specific anti-codon) for a particular amino acid; and 'wobble' base-pairing, i.e. permitting non-standard base-pairing at the 3rd anti-codon position. The record is from Rfam by way of RNAcentral. Lineage: Duplodnaviria; Heunggongvirae; Uroviricota; Caudoviricetes; Vilmaviridae.
UGUGAUGUCGUCCAACGGUUUAGGGCACCGAUCUGAUACAUCGGAAACCAGGGUUCAACUCCCUGCUUCACUA